This 2412-nucleotide ribosomal RNA is filed under the name Triticum aestivum (bread wheat). RNAcentral's name for it is "partial small subunit ribosomal RNA". Lineage: Eukaryota; Viridiplantae; Streptophyta; Magnoliopsida; Poales; Poaceae. The record is from RNAcentral.
AUGAAGGAAGUGGUAAGAAAGGAGGUACUAAAACUCCUUGAGGUAGGUAUUAUUUAUCCCGUUGCUGAUAGUGAAUGGGUAAGCCCUGUCCAUUGUGUCCCUAAAAAGGGAGGUAUUACCGUUGUUCCUAAUGAUAAAGAUGAAUUGAUCCCAGAAAGAAUUAUUACAGAUUAUAGGAUGGUAAUUGAUUUCCGUAAGUUAAAUAAAGCUACUAAGAAAGAUCGUUACCCUUUACCUUUUAUUGAUCAAAUGCUAGAAAGGCUAUCCAAACACACACAUUUUUGCUUCCUAGAUGGUUAUUCUGGCUUCUCUCAGAUACCUGUUUCAGCGGGGGAUCAAUCUAAAACUACUUUUACUUGCCCUUUUGGUACUUUUGCUUAUAGACGUAUGCCUUUUGGUUUAUGUAAUGCACCUGCUACCUUUCAAAGAUGCAUGAUGGCUAUAUUUUCUGAUUUUUGUGAAAAGAUUUGUGAGGUAUUCAUGGAUGACUUCUCCGUCUAUGGAUCCUCUUUUGAUGAUUGUUUGAGCAACCUUGAUCGAGUUUUGCAGAGAUGUGAAGACACUAGUCUCGUCCUGAAUUGGGAAAAGUGUCACUUUAUGGUUGAUGAAGGCAUUGUCUUGGGGCACAAGAUCUCCGAGAGAGGUAUUGAAGUUGAUAAAGCAAAAGUUGAUGCUAUUGAAAAGAUGCCAUGUCCCAAGGACAUAAAAUGUAUAAGAAGUUUCCUUGGUCAUGCCGGUUUUUAUAGGAGGUUCAUUAAGGACUUCUCUAAAAUCUUUAGGCCUCUGACUAAUUUAUUGCAAAAAGAUAUUCCUUUUGUCUUUGAUGAUUAUUGUGUAGAAGCAUUUGAAACACUUAAGAAGGCUUUGAUCACUGCACCUAUUGUUCAGCCACCUGAUUGGAAUUUACCUUUUGAAAUUAUGUGCGAUUCUAGUGAUUAUGCUGUAGGUGCUGUUUUAGGGCAAAGAGUCGAUAAGAAAUUGAAUGUUAUCCAUUAUGCUAGCAAGACUCUUGAUACUGCUCAGAGAAAUUAUGCUACCACUGAAAAAGAAUUCUUAGCAGUUGUGUUUGCAUGUGAUAAGUUUAUACCUUAUAUUGUUGAUUCCAAAGUUACUAUUCACACCGAUCAUGCUGCUAUUAAAUAUCUUAUGAAAAAGAAAGAUGCUAAGCCUAGACUCAUUAGAUGGGUUCUCUUACUCCAAGAAUUUUAUUUGCAUAUUAUUGAUAGAAAGGAAGCUGAGAACCCCGUUGCAGACAACUUGUCUAGGCUAGAGAAUGUUCUUGAUGACCCACUGCCUAUUAAUGAUAGCUUUCCUGAUGAACAAUUAGCGGUUGUCAAUGCUUCUCGUACUGCUCCUUGGUAUGCUGACUAUGCCAAUUACAUUGUUGCUAAAUAUAUACCGCCUAGUAUCACAUACCAGCAAAAGAAAAUGUUCUUUUAUGAUUUAAGACAUUACUUCUGGGAUGAUCCACACCUUUAUAAAGAAGGAGUAGAUGGUAUUAUUAGACGUUGUGUGCCUGAGCAUGAACAGGAACAAAUUCUACGCAAGUGUCACUCUGAAUCCUAUGGAGGACACCACGCUGGAGAUAGAACUGCACACAAGGUACUACACUCUGGUUUUUAUUGGCCUACUCUUUUCAAAGAUGCUCGUAAGUUUGUCGUAUCUUGUGAUGAAUGUCAAAGAAUAGGUAACAUUAGUAGACGUCAAGAAAUGCCUAUGACUUAUUCUCUUGUUAUUGAACCGUUUGAUGUUUGGGGCUUUGAUUAUAUGGGACCUUUUCCUGCCUUUAAUGGUUAUACACAUAUUUUAGUUGCUGUUGAUUACGUUACUAAGUGGGUAGAAGCUAUUCCAACUAGUAGUGCUGAUCAUAACACUUCUAUUAAAAUGCUCAAAGAAGUUAUUUUUCCGAGGUUUGGAGUCCCUAGAUAUCUUAUGACUGAUGGUGGUUCACACUUUAUUCAUGGUGCUUUCCGUAAGAUGCUUGCUAAGUAUGAUGUCAAUCAUAGAAUCGCAUCUCCUUAUCACCCGCAGUCUAGUGGUCAAGUAGAGUUGAGCAAUACAGAGCUCAAGUUAAUUUUGCAAAAGACUGUGAAUAGAUCUAGAAAGAAUUGGUCCAAAAAACUUGAUGAUGCAUUAUGGGCCUAUAGAACUGCAUACAAAAAUCCUAUGGGCAUGUCUCCAUAUAAGAUGGUUUAUGGAAAAGCAUGUCAUUUACCUCUUGAACUUGAACAUAAAGCAUAUUGGGCUGUUAAAGAGCUCAAUUAUGACUUCAAACUUGCCGGUGAGAAAAGGUUAUUUGAUAUUAGCUCACUUGAUGAAUGGAGAACCCAAGCAUAUGAGAAUGCCAAGAUUUUCAAAGAAAAGUCAAACACUGGCAUGAUAAGAGGAUACAGAAGCGUGAGUUUAACGUAG